ACGUGGGACAGACUAAUAUUAACCAUUGUGUUCUUUCCUGAGGCUGCAGCAUCGAGAGGGCAGAAAGAAAACAAGACAACCAUCCUGAUUAUUCUGAGUAGGAUGAAGUAUGGAGCUCCUUGGGGAGAAUGAGCUAAGAAAGCAGACCCACGGUUCAGGAAGCUAAAUCAGUCACAGUAAGAGCGUGAACCCGAGCCACGAGGACAACAGGAAAUUCGGAGGCUCCAGUCAAGGAGACACAUACAUUACGAAGAGGAGGGGACACUCCAGAUUCGCAAAUGCUGAGGCCUGGGUGUGGAGGGGAAGAAGAGGAAGAGCAACAGAAACCCAAGAAGUUUGGUGGAGGAGAGGAGGAAGCACGGAAACACUCUUGCUUUGAUGGUGAAAAGUUUGCGUGACUGUGAUUUUUUUUGGUGCCGGGGAUCAUGAUUGUGAUGGUUUAGGGCAGGGUAAUGAAAGCCUGAGAUAAGCAAACUCCUGUGAGAGGGAAGAUAGUGUGGCUAAAAAAACAGAAGAGGAUAAAGACCCCAAGGAGACAAAGAAGCAAGAGAACGAGAAAGAGAAAACUUGGCAACAAGGAAACGACCUUCUGUGUAAGUCAGCUUUCUAUCAAAAAGACGAAAUAUAUGAAAUAAGUCAAACUGAAGGGAAGACAGGUUAGACUUGGCUCAUGGUGUCAGAGGGGUUAGUCCAUGGUGUCUUGAUCCAUUCCUCUGAGCCUAUGCAGGACAUUACCACUUGGUGGGAGUGUGCGGUGGCAGAAGUUGCUCACUUCAUAAUGUCUGAGAAGCAAAGAGAGACAGACAGACAGAGAGAGACAGACAAACAGACAGAGAGAGAGAGGUCCCAGUGUUAUAGGCAGCUGAGUUAGAAGUAUUAUAGGCCAUCAGACAAGGCUGGGCCCUCAAAGGAGCCAGUGCAGAAGAUCAGAUACCUUGCAACUGCAGGGAAGACAGACACCUGCUCAGUGGGCCAGACCUCAAGACUAAAGACAAAUCAAACUUUGCACCCACAAACUUCCUAAGGGUAUUCAAUAGGAAUUGAUAUUCUAAAUAGGUCUCUAUCAUCCUGAGGAAGCUAAGAGUCACUAACUCAAGCCCUUAUAGGAAGAGUUACUGCUCUUUAAGCAUGCGUGUUUGUUAUGUCACUCUCCUCCCCAUUUGUCCUCGAUUUAAUCAGCUUUGCUUGAGCAAUUAAUCUCAUUGGUCAGUCAUAGUUCUGUCCCACCUCAGCCCACAUUGUGAGUUCCCAUGUUA
Molecule: long non-coding RNA, 1256 nt
Organism: Cavia porcellus (domestic guinea pig)
Lineage: Eukaryota; Metazoa; Chordata; Mammalia; Rodentia; Caviidae
Exons: 3
Source: RefSeq, a predicted model, not a curated record